Molecule: long non-coding RNA, 298 nt
Organism: Odocoileus virginianus texanus
Lineage: Eukaryota; Metazoa; Chordata; Mammalia; Artiodactyla; Cervidae
Source: RefSeq, a predicted model, not a curated record
UGGGACUCCAGCAGGAAGUGGGGCCUCCGAGGGGGAAAGAGGCUCAGCUUCAGAAAGCCGCUGGGGUCAUGGCACAGGCGCCCCAAAGAUCUGCGAGUCAAAUGAGAAGACACUGCUCUUCUGUUCCUCUUCCUGUAACCGCUCUUUCUCUUGGGUUCUUUUUUGUGGAAAGCAAAGUUAUAAGAAGAGAGCCAAAUGCAGUAACGCCCUGGGCUGAAUUGUAAGCCCGAGAAAUGUGAGCAGAGUUAAAGGAAGCCGAGGGGAGAUGCAGAUUUCUGCUGCUGGACGAGCCCCCCCC